This 606-nucleotide ribosomal RNA is filed under the name Escherichia coli. Its description in RNAcentral is "partial 23S ribosomal RNA". It matches the Rfam family "Bacterial large subunit ribosomal RNA", at positions 584 to 1191 of the family's 2925-position model. The record is from RNAcentral. Lineage: Bacteria; Pseudomonadati; Pseudomonadota; Gammaproteobacteria; Enterobacterales; Enterobacteriaceae.
GCAAUCUGUGUGACUGCGUACCUUUUGUAUAAUGGGUCAGCGACUUAUAUUCUGUAGCAAGGUUAACCGAAUAGGGGAGCCGAAGGGAAACCGAGUCUUAACUGGGCGUUAAGUUGCAGGGUAUAGACCCGAAACCCGGUGAUCUAGCCAUGGGCAGGUUGAAGGUUGGGUAACACUAACUGGAGGACCGAACCGACUAAUGUUGAAAAAUUAGCGGAUGACUUGUGGCUGGGGGUGAAAGGCCAAUCAAACCGGGAGAUAGCUGGUUCUCCCCGAAAGCUAUUUAGGUAGCGCCUCGUGAAUUCAUCUCCGGGGGUAGAGCACUGUUUCGGCAAGGGGGUCAUCCCGACUUACCAACCCGAUGCAAACUGCGAAUACCGGAGAAUGUUAUCACGGGAGACACACGGCGGGUGCUAACGUCCGUCGUGAAGAGGGAAACAACCCAGACCGCCAGCUAAGGUCCCAAAGUCAUGGUUAAGUGGGAAACGAUGUGGGAAGGCCCAGACAGCCAGGAUGUUGGCUUAGAAGCAGCCAUCAUUUAAAGAAAGCGUAAUAGCUCACUGGUCGAGUCGGCCUGCGCGGAAGAUGUAACGGGGCUAAACCAUG